RNAcentral lists this transfer RNA (77 nucleotides) under Burkholderiales bacterium. RNAcentral describes it as "tRNA-Arg". It matches the Rfam family "tRNA". Rfam says of the family: Transfer RNA (tRNA) molecules are approximately 80 nucleotides in length. Their secondary structure includes four short double-helical elements and three loops (D, anti-codon, and T loops). Lineage: Bacteria; Pseudomonadati; Pseudomonadota; Betaproteobacteria; Burkholderiales. RNAcentral also lists the same sequence under 3 other names. The record is from RNAcentral.
GUGCCCGUAGCUCAAUCGGAUAGAGCACCGGCCUUCUAAGCCGGGGGUUGUGGGUUCGAGUCCCGCCGGGCGCGCCA